Molecule: unclassified non-coding RNA, 6770 nt
Filed under: Homarus americanus (American lobster)
Lineage: Eukaryota; Metazoa; Arthropoda; Malacostraca; Decapoda; Nephropidae
Description: serine/threonine-protein kinase ATR-like, transcript variant X1
Source: RNAcentral
ACCUGACACAGGAGGAGGGAGACUGGCUAGUGUUAGGUUGAAUCAGCAGCAGCACAGCAGUUUACUUUAAGAAGAUGCACCCACCAUAGAUGCCAGGAUGGCAGAAAAUAUGUCUGAUAGCCAAAACACAGCUUUGCGAGACAAAUUUGUUUCUGUGGUUGGAUCAGUAUUUGCAAGUGGCGAUGAAGCAAAUAUUUUAACACUCUUGACUUCAUUAACAAAUGUAUGUCGACGUGAUGAGUGGCUGCUGGUUGUGCCUACCUCUACUGGCACCACUAGUAAUGAUGACCAGAUCGUUACUGAUACUUCAGACAGACAUAAAGCAUCAGAAUUCACUUGCUGGCUGCUGGCAGAACUAGUAACAGUGAAUGGAUCAGCAGUGGUGUGUGAGGCCAACAUUAACCUUCAAGUUACCAUCAUGCGUCUACUAGCUACUCGAAAUCCCCAGCUAUUUUCUUCUGUCAUCAAAGAUUAUGUAGAUAUUGGCUUAGAAGGAAAAGAAGUUCUCUUUGAUGGAGGAACAGUUUCAUGUCAGUGCUUCUCAUCUGUAGUGAAUAGGAACAAUGCUCAACCAGUACCUAAGACUAUUGUAUUUACUGAUGAUUCACAGCUUGAACAUAUUCUCAUCAACAUCAUUAUGGUGAUAGGAGACUUAGGAGACUACUUGUGUCACUGGGUUGGACCUCUUCAUGAUCAAAUAUGGCUCCUUGUUACUACUUGUUUAGAGGGAGGAGACAUCAACCUCAAGGCUGCCUCUCUCUCCACCAUCUCAUGCCUUUUGGACAUAUGUGGGUUACCCAAGGCCAUUGAAAGGCAAGAUUAUUUGAUUCAGUGUAUUGGAGCAACAGUCUUGUUAAUUACCGAUGAAUCUUAUGUAGUGGAAGAGGUUAGUGUUCGUGUAAGAAAGGAAACCAGAACAGCUUGCCAAGUUGAAGGGAAUGAUUUUGAAGAUUGUCUGGCUCGUGUCAUACUCAAUCUGCAGCAAUACAUCUCUCAUCUGAUCCAUCUCUUCAAAGAAGAGUUUCUUUUAAUGCUCUCAAAGUGUCUCAACAAACCAAAUGUGUUGGAAAAGAUGUCAGGGUUGUUGAGGAAAGCUGUUCUCCAGUGUUUUACCAUGUUAGUGGACAUGCUGGGCACAUCUCCUCACCUAAAGAAAGCUACCACUGCUCUUCACACUUGUGUCACUCACAGUCUUCUAGUACCUGAGGUUUCGAACACCAUACUGAGGAAGUUGUUACUAGAAGAACUACUUAAGGAGUUACCAACAAAUAUUUUGGACAACCAACAUCAGGAAUUAUCUGAAACUCAGGCACGGAAGCGAAGAUUUUCAGAAAUAGAAUCACCAAGACCCUCUGUGAGUGUCAUGAACCUAAGCAAGUGGUGGAAGAUGACCUUACAGAAGUUGACUACCACAUUUGUAGAAUGGUCUGAAACUACUUCUCUGCUGCUUGGUCAAGUUGAAGCUGCUUGUGAAAUUAUCUCAUGUGCAGGAUGGAUUGCUGCCAAAACUGAACAGUCAGAGGUUUGCCUCCGGUUCUUCCCUGAUUCCUGGCUUCAAGUAGCUACAGACUCCAUAACCUCUGUUAUGAUGAAUACAGAAGAUACCAGUCAGGUGAUUGGAAUGUUGGAGCUUAUAUGGAACCUAGCGUGGGCAGCAGGUAUUACUGAGGUUAACAGCCAAAAAAUACAGCUGUGCCAUUCAUGGUUAGCCUUAGCAACUUUGCCAUGGAUGGCUUCUGAAGUCAGCUUGAUGGACCUGAAACCUAUCAACAUCAAACAGUUUCCUACUUGGUCAUCAAAGCUGAAGUGGAUUAAUGAUUAUAAAGUGAAAUCCAAGAGUUUAGCCACUGUUGCCAUCAUGUGUGAAGGUAUAGCUCCAAGAUGGCGGUGUCAUGUUAUCCGUGCUGCCAUCAGUGAGCGAGACCCUCCAGUUAUGUUAGAGAUGGCACGCUGGUUUCCUGUGAUGGUUCAUCAGCUGGGUGGUGCAGGUGGUCAACAACUGGUAGGAGAAGUUAUCGGCUCAGUACUUCACUCCCCAGAUAUCAAAACAGUCCUGGCUGGAGCAGAAUCUCUUCAACAACUGCUGUGCGCCCUUCUUAGCCUUACAACUAUUAAAUUUUAUCGACAAGAAAAGGAGGACAAGAAACCCUAUUCAGGUAUAUUGGAGUGUAGAGUUUGCCAUAACUCCAGCUCCAUCAAUAAGUUGAACACUCAGCGUGUUGACCCCACAUUAGUGUCCAGAUUCUUGGAGCUGUUAAAUCAUGCAGAAGCAGAUAUUGUUAUUGCACUGAUAGAAGCCCUCCCAGCAGUAGUCUCCCAUACAACAGUUAACAGUCAGAUGAUGAACCAGUACCUGUUACUUCUCACUCACCAGAACAAGACUGUAGUCACUGCCUUCUGUAAACAACUUCCAACUCUUGUUUGCUGCCAAGGCCAGAAUCCAUCAAUUCAGGACCCAAAGAAUGCAAUGAUGUCAAAGGAAGGAGAAGCUCUUCUUUCAUUUUUUAAUGACUUAAUGAAGAAGAAUAGUACCAGUGUGACAACAUCCAGUAAACCACUGCUGGCCAUUUUGGAGGCUUCACACCAUCUAGUGAAGUAUCCACUUGGAGGGUUAGCAGGGGGGAUGUUAGUGUUGUUGCUUCGGUGUCUUGUCCAGACAGACAGGAUAGUAACUGCUCAGGCUCAUCUGGAAAUCCAUUCCUUAGCUAAAUCUUUAAGGCUCACUCUCAAGGACCUCUACAUAAGACAUAGACAGUCUCUAGCACAGGUGUUGUCAGAGGUUAUUAACCCAGGAGAAGUUGGUAUAACGCUGAGCCAUGUUGCAGAGGUGUUUAGGUGGCCAAGCUCAACUUCCAACAGUAAGAGGAGUCAAAUGAACAGUAAACUGGGGUCAUUCAUUAGCAGCCAGAUUCAUCACUUGCUGCCUGUCUUAGCAGUUCGGGCAUCACAGGAGUCCAGGCCUGGAUUUCUCCAAGAGCUAGCAGCAUGUCUUGGACUUCGUCUUCGUGACAUUCUUAUUGAUCAUUUCCAGCACAUCUUGGCACACUUGGUAUUCCAACACUCAGAGAAAGAGCAAGAAGCAGUGUUGAACUUUAUUGCUACAACAACUGAUAUUCAAAUUUAUAAUAUCAGGCAGUGUUCUGUACAGAAUCAGGUCAAUGAAUUAGUCCUUGGACUUCAUGAUCACCGAAGUGCUGUUCUACGAGAAUUUUCCCAUAUGAAGAUCAUAGGACAGAGCAGUGAUCAACAGUGCAUCAAAACCAAAGAGAAUGGUUCAAAUAAGGACAGUGCUGCAGUUCUUGGAUCAGACGACAUUGCUGAAUAUCUAUCACCACGUCUCCUUGGAAUAUUAGGAUUUCUUGAUAGCAAACUUGUGUCUUCAUCAACCAUGUACAAAGAGAAGCGAUCUGCCUUGUGGUCUUUGAGUGAUCUGUUGGUUGUAAUGGGAAGAAAAUACAUUUCUCCAGUUUCUCGGAAGGUUUUAGCAUCCUUGAAAACAGCUCUGAAGCUGAGAGAUGAAGACUUUUAUGACAUUGGCUGCCAUGCUUGGACAAAUUUCUUAUAUAACUUGGAUGAGUGCACACUGGAGGGGCUACUAGAAGAAGUAGUUGUGGUUGUGACGCCUCUUGUGAGGGUACGACCCAAGGAGAUGGCGCCAGUCCUGAACCACAUCUUGUUGGAGAUGCCUUCAAUAAAACCACUUCUUGGGUACUUACCUCUUCUUCCCGAUGAUGUAGCUCUCUCCCAAGUUAAUCAAGCCAUCGUGGAGCGUCAGUUGAGAGUUAAAUGUGGCAACACACAAGAAGUUAUAGAGGUACUCUCAUCUUUACUUCGUGGCCUCAAUCAUGAGAGUCUUGAUGUGAGACUGAAUGCCCUGACUCGUCUCCGACAUACACUACAACACAACCAAGAUGCUGUCCAUCGUCUAACAAUAGACGCUGAUAAUGUGCAUCCAACUAUAUCAGAGUUAUUUAGUAUUCUUUUAGGUCAGUGCCGUGAGCUGGAGGAGGAAGUUCAGAUAGCAGUAGCAGAAUGUUUAGGUCUCUUGGGUGCAAUAGACCCCAGUCGUCUCUACACACAUGCCAACAUUAAAGAGGAACUAAAUGAGAUCCACCUCAACAUUGAAACAGAGUCUUUCAUUGUACAGCUGGUCACAGAGUUAGGACGAGCUUUUUUGGCUGCCACUAAUGCUAACACCCAGACUUGUGCAUCAUAUGCUAUGCAGGAAGUGACUCGUCUUUAUGGCAUCCGAGAAAAGGGAAGUGAAGGAGCAUCACCAGUAGGGUCAAGAGCCUGGGAACAGCUGGGGUACCACCUACAAGAAAUCAUUUACCCACUUUUGUCUUCCAAGUACAUCGUGGCAACAAGUGCUGGUAGAUCAUCUGUCCUCCCAUCUCCUAUUUAUGGGAGUUCUCAGGCACAGUCCUUCCACCAGUGGCUCACCAACUGGGCAUGUUUUCUUGUUGAUAUGCUCAAGGGAAAGACAGCCAGUCAGAUAUUCAAUGUAUGUAAGCCAAUUCUUCGUCGUGACACAACCACUGCCAUGUACCUUCUACCUUCUAUCCUUGUAUGUGUACUACGAGAAUCAGCUGACCACCACAAUCAAAUUCUAACGGAGGUUCUUGCAGUUAUGAGUCAAAUGCAAGAAAAACAGAAGAAGGAAGACACAGUUGCACUAUCACCAGAGUUCAAGCACUUAGCUGUUCAGACAGUAUUCUCAGCCUUGGACUACCUUAGUAAGUGGGCUCAGAAGCAAAGACAAAUGGAAAGUGUUGGGAAGAAGGGUCGAGGAGCCUUCACACCCUCUGCAGAACUACAACAGGUGACUGAUUUCCUUGAGAAGAUUCCUGGUAAUCUACUGGCGCAGACAUCAUUCAAGUGCCAAGCAUAUUCUCGUGCCCUUCUGCACAUCGAAGCUUAUCUGAAGGAUAACGCAAAUGAUCUGAAGGAACAUCUCCGCUUCCUUCAGUGUAUCUACGUGUCACUGGAUGAGCCCGAUGGUGUUGCUGGCGUGGCAGCCAUCAGACGGGAGGACACGUCUUUAGAUGAACAAGUUAUUGAGUAUGAAGCAACAGGUCGUUUACAAGAUGCCUUAGGAUGUUAUGAACGUUUGUGCGUCUCUCAAGGGUCAGAAGAGGUUUACAAGGGGCUGUUGGAAUGCUACUUAAGUUUGGAUCAGCCUCAUUCAGUCCUCAACAUAACCCAUGGGCUACUUGCCAACAGGCCUGAAUUGGAAGCCUCAUUGAAUAAGUACCGCGUUGAGGCCGCUUGGAGACUUGGCCAGUGGGAUCAACUUGAGAAAGUCCUUGAAACAAACCCCAGUCAAGCAUCUUGGGGCGUAGGCGUUGGGCAGAUCCUUCUUGCAGUUCGAGGACGAGACUCUGCAGCAUACCAGAAUAGUCUGCGUCGACUAAGAACUCAACAGAUCGCCUCACUUUCAGCAGCAAGUAUGGAGAAGUGGGCUUACCAGAGAGCCUAUCCACACAUUCUUAGACUUCACAUGUUGACGGAACUGGAAGAAAUGGUAUCAGGUUUACUACUGUUUAACCAAACAAAUGAGACCAAGAGCAAGUUAGAUCUUCACCAUCAACCCCUUAAUCUUAAUGAGCUGACUGAAAGAUGGGACAAACGACUAGGCUUGGUCCAAACAUCUCAUCGAUACCUAGAACCUAUUCUCAGUUUCCGAAGAACACUAUUGGAACUUGGCCGAGAGUGGGUGCAACAGAGCAACCCAGCUCAGAGUUCUGCACUGGCUGCACAGCUGGAGCGUACGUGGCUCCAUAGUGCUAAGGUGGCACGCAAGUCAGGAUACACUCAACAGGGAGAGUGGGCUCUUCUUGGGGCAGGAUUUGGUCGUGACGUAUUUGUUGAACGAGCAAAGUGGCACUGGGUGAAGGGAGAACAUCAUCAAGCUGUGACCACCCUUCAUCGUGGUAUUGAAAAGUUCUUCCCCUCUUCAGAGAGCUACAAAGGGGCUGUCGGUGAGGACACUGAGGAAAAACGACAGACUUGUGGACGUGCCAAACUACUCCUUGCAAGGUAUUCCGAGGAAUCAGCCACACUGGAGGUGAAUGCGGUGAAGCAGUAUUAUCGUGAUGCAUGUGAGAUGAACAAACAGUGGGAAGACGGACACUUCUACUUAGCCAUGUAUUAUGAUCGUAUACUUGCUUCAUUAGAUAUGAAGGAGAAACCAGUGGAUUGGAUUCAUCAUAUUGUUCUGAGUAUCGGGAAAUCUCUCCAGUAUGGUUGCCGCCACAUUUACCAGUCCAUGCCAAGAAUGUUGGGCCUGUGGCUUGAGUUUGGCACAAGAGUUAGUGAACUUGAGGCAAAGGAAGGAAAGGUGAAAGGUGGCCGAAAGAAUAUCAUCCUUGACAAUUACCGUGAAAAGCUGGCCAAUCUGAAUGCAAAUGUUGUUAUGCAAAAUAAUUGCCACCAUGCUGAGCAGUUUCCCACAACAAGCCAUGUGGCACAUGAUUGCUGUAUCAAAGUCUUCAUAUCACAUGCGAGUAAGAAGAUGUAUCGAGAUUUUUGAAGCAGCAAAGAGAAUGAACCCACAGCUAUCAAAAUUCAUCACAGAUGCAACUAAAUUAGCUGAUAAAUUUCUUGAACUUUCAAAUAAACCUGUGGAGAAGGGUGUGCUUCGAGUCAGCCUCAACACCUUGCUUCGUGCCUUUCCUCGGCUCCUGUCUGACACUUCUUUUUCAAAUAUUAUCCUACCCCUUCAGCAUCAAAUGUUAGUAACACUUCCCACAUCCUUUGAUGAUCUCCAC